GAGAAUAGCCAGGUUUCACCUACU
Molecule: non-coding RNA, 24 nt
Filed under: Arabidopsis thaliana (thale cress)
Lineage: Eukaryota; Viridiplantae; Streptophyta; Magnoliopsida; Brassicales; Brassicaceae
Source: RNAcentral